Long non-coding RNA from Alosa sapidissima (American shad), 298 nucleotides. RefSeq lists it as uncharacterized. The transcript has 4 exons. NCBI's taxonomy places the organism in Eukaryota, Metazoa, Chordata, Actinopteri, Clupeiformes, Clupeidae. The record is from RefSeq and is a predicted model, not a curated record.
GCUACACUAGUUAGCCUAACAGGAUGAUGCUAGUAAGGUGGAAGAGGAAGGCAGUUUUGCAUAAGAGGAGUCCCUGUACACCCAGAGCAACUCACUCUCCUUCUCAACAAACCCAAGUUGAUGCAGCCAUGCCAUUCACAAAAGGCCCUGUGAUUCUCACUACAGUCAUUUUCCUUUUAUCAGGUGUCCUUGGUCAGGGCGACUGGAGUGUGACAUACCUCUCAACCAGCAUCUGCGGUUUAAAGGGGUCAUUUGUGGACAUUCCCUGCACUUACUCAUAUCCAAGAAAUCUAAAAAU